CGAAUUGCGAUAUGUACUGUGAAUUGCGGAAUUCAGUGAAUCAUCGAAUCUUUGAACGCACCUUGCG
RNAcentral lists this ribosomal RNA (67 nucleotides) under uncultured Clavariaceae. Its description in RNAcentral is "partial 5.8S ribosomal RNA". It matches the Rfam family "5.8S ribosomal RNA", at positions 49 to 115 of the family's 154-position model. From Rfam's summary of the family: 5.8S ribosomal RNA (5.8S rRNA) is a component of the large subunit of the eukaryotic ribosome. It is transcribed by RNA polymerase I as part of the 45S precursor that also contains 18S and 28S rRNA. The record is from RNAcentral. Lineage: Eukaryota; Fungi; Basidiomycota; Agaricomycetes; Agaricales; Clavariaceae.